RNAcentral lists this transfer RNA (74 nucleotides) under Microbacterium phage PauloDiaboli. Its description in RNAcentral is "tRNA-Val". It matches the Rfam family "tRNA". Rfam says of the family: Transfer RNA (tRNA) molecules are approximately 80 nucleotides in length. Their secondary structure includes four short double-helical elements and three loops (D, anti-codon, and T loops). Lineage: Duplodnaviria; Heunggongvirae; Uroviricota; Caudoviricetes. The record is from RNAcentral. RNAcentral also lists the same sequence under 1 other name.
GCCCCGGUCAUUCAGAGGCCUAGGAUGUUUCUCUUACACGGAAAUCACGCGAGUUCGAAUCUCGCCUGGGGCAC